This 422-nucleotide ribosomal RNA is filed under the name uncultured bacterium. RNAcentral's name for it is "bacterial SSU rRNA". It matches the Rfam family "Bacterial small subunit ribosomal RNA", at positions 355 to 774 of the family's 1533-position model. The record is from RNAcentral.
UAAGGAAUAUUGGUCAAUGGACGCAAGUCUGAACCAGCCAUGCCGCGUGGAGGAUGAAGGUCCUCUGGAUUGUAAACUUCUUUUAUCUGGGACGAAACACUUCUUUUCUAAGAGGCCUGACGGUACCAGAUGAAUAAGCACCGGCUAACUCCGUGCCAGCAGCCGCGGUAAUACGGAGGGUGCAAGCGUUAUCCGGAUUCACUGGGUUUAAAGGGUGCGUAGGUGGGUAUGUAAGUCAGUGGUGAAAUCCCCGAGCUUAACUUGGGAACUGCCAUUGAUACUAUAUAUCUUGAAUACCGUAGAGGUAAGCGGAAUAUGUCAUGUACCGGUGAAAUGCUUAGAUAUGACAUGGAACACCAAUUGCGAAGGCAGCUUACUAUGCGGUGAUUGACACUGAGGCACGAAAGCGUGGGUAGCAAACA